GAUGAACGCUGGCGGCGUGCCUAAUACAUGCAAGUCGAGCGAACAGACGAGGAGCUUGCUCCUCUGACGUUAGCGGCGGACGGGUGAGUAACACGUGGAUAACCUACCUAUAAGACUGGGAUAACUUCGGGAAACCGGAGCUAAUACCGGAUAAUAUAUUGAACCGCAUGGUUCAAUAGUGAAAGACGGUUUUGCUGUCACUUAUAGAUGGAUCCGCGCCGCAUUAGCUAGUUGGUAAGGUAACGGCUUACCAAGGCAACGAUGCGUAGCCGACCUGAGAGGGUGAUCCGCCACACUGGAACUGAGACACGGUCCAGACACCUACGGGAGGCAGCAGUAGGGAAUCUUCCGCAAUGGGCGAAAGCUUGACGGAGCAACGCCGCGUGAGUGAUGAAGGUCUUCGGAUCGUAAAACUCUGUUAUUAGGGAAGAACAAAUGUGUAAGUACCUAUGCACGUCUUGACGGUACCUAAUCAGAAAGCCACGGCUAACUACGUG
RNAcentral lists this ribosomal RNA (497 nucleotides) under uncultured bacterium. Its description in RNAcentral is "partial 16S ribosomal RNA". It matches the Rfam family "Bacterial small subunit ribosomal RNA", at positions 28 to 507 of the family's 1533-position model. The record is from RNAcentral.